CUAAGAAUAUUCCGCAAUGGGAGCAAUCCUGACGGAGCGACGCCGCGUGAAGGAUGAAGGCAGAAAUGUUGUAAACUUCUUUUAUAGGGGAAGAAUAAGACUUUUUUGGUCGAUGACGGUACCCUAUGAAUAAGCUCCGGCUAACUACGUGCCAGCAGCCGCGGUAAUACGUAGGGGGCUAGCGUUGUUCGGAUUUAUUGGGCGUAAAGAGCAUGUAGGCUGUUAUGUAAGUGUGGAUUUAAAGGCUAAGGCUUAACCUUAGUAUGGUCUGCAAACUGCGUAACUAGAGUUUAGGAUGGGAAACUGGAAUUCCACGUGUAGGGGUGAAAUCUGUAGAGAUGUGGAAGAAUACCAGCGGCGAAGGCGAGUUUCUGGUCUAAUACUGACGCUGAGAUGCGAAAGUGUGGGUAGCAAACAGGAUUAGAUACCCCCGUAGUCC
This 439-nucleotide ribosomal RNA is filed under the name uncultured prokaryote. Its description in RNAcentral is "bacterial SSU rRNA". It matches the Rfam family "Bacterial small subunit ribosomal RNA", at positions 355 to 796 of the family's 1533-position model. The record is from RNAcentral.